AUGAAAAUCCCCCCAGCAAAGGCUGAGAAAAUCGCUUCCCAGAUGAUCACUGAAGGACGCAUGAAUGGCUUCAUCGACCAGAUAGACAGCAUUGUACACUUUGAGACCCGUGAAGCCCUUCCUACCUGGGACAAACAGAUCCAGUCUCUGUGUUUCCAAGUCAACAACCUCCUAGAAAAGAUCCGUUCGGCUGCUCCAGAGUGGGCGGCACAGGCUAUGGAAACCCAGAUGACCCAGUAAACAUCCCCACCCCUCCAGAAGAAAAAAAAAUCCCCUAAACUGUUCUCUCCUCAGCCUGUCCUAAAGUGAUGUCUCCCUGCUCAAAAACGUCACCACUUCAGUCCCAGUAAUGGAAGAGUCCAAGGAGAAGCCUCUGGUAUCACCAUCACUUGUUUGAAUUUUCAGAGAACACUUGUUUUAUUACUUUUGCCCACAACUGAAACAAGUUUGAUGUUUCUCAAUAUUUCCGAUCUGUAUCUGACAUAGAUGUAUUCACAGGGGGAUUACAAUGUAACGUUUAGGUGUGGCUUUAUAUUAUUUACUUGUUAUGUUAAACAUUCGGAUGUGAUUUAAUUCAGAUAGUUGACAUGUAAUAGGGUCAAAAAGAAGUGAAACAUGCGGGGGAACAACUGGUGUCUUGAAGCUUAUUUUGCGUUCCAACACAUUGUUCUGUGUUUAACUAAACAUAAUGACACAGCAAUGUCUGUCAAGUUGAUUUAUGGCGUCAUGUAAAACUUUCUCGGUCCACACAUGGAAUUUCAGCAACGAGAAUUAAAUUCAAAGCGGAGAGAAAUUGUUCAA
This is a long non-coding RNA of Sander lucioperca (pikeperch), 801 nucleotides long. RefSeq lists it as uncharacterized. The record is from RefSeq and is a predicted model, not a curated record. The transcript is spliced from 3 exons. NCBI's taxonomy places the organism in Eukaryota, Metazoa, Chordata, Actinopteri, Perciformes, Percidae.